UACGAAGGGGGCUAGCGUUGUUCGGAAUUACUGGGCGUAAAGCGCACGUAGGCGGAUCUGUAAGUAGGGGGUGAAAUCCCCGGGCUCAACCCGGGAACUGCCUUCUAGACUGCAGACCUUGAGAUCAGGAGAGGCGAGCGGAAUUCCGAGUGUAGAGGUGAAAUGCUUAGAUAUCGUCAAGAACACCGAUAGCGAAGGCAGCUUACUAGACUGUAACUGACGCUGAUGCACGAAAGUGUGGGGAUCAAACAGG
RNAcentral lists this ribosomal RNA (253 nucleotides) under uncultured bacterium. RNAcentral's name for it is "partial 16S ribosomal RNA". It matches the Rfam family "Bacterial small subunit ribosomal RNA", at positions 524 to 776 of the family's 1533-position model. The record is from RNAcentral.